CGGAGGACGCCGCCUUUAGUCCAGUACCUGCGGCAGCUCUUGCAGAAGUGGCGUGGCUGCGAGAGGUUGUAGUUGUUGUAGUAGCAAAACUUGGUGUUAAGUGAGUCGCACCUGGGGCACUUUAAUGCUUGGUGGUUCUGCUGGUGAUGCGGCCUCAGCCUCCGGUCUCCACCUCCGCCGCUAAAUAACCGGCCUCCGCCGCCAAUUGAGUGGAUAUCUUGCAUUUCGUAGCCUCCGCCACAAGUCGUACUCGAAAGAAACACUGAACUUGCUAAUAUGUAUGAACCAAAAUCGUUUGUUAAUAGUGCAAAACGAGUAUAAAAAGCAAAAUUGUUGCUUACAAUCCAGUUUCCCUCUUGAAAUUGCUCACAUUAACCGACCACGAAAUGGAAACUCAGAAUCGAGAGAAAGAGAGAGAAUCGAG
Molecule: unclassified non-coding RNA, 424 nt
Filed under: Hevea brasiliensis (rubber tree)
Lineage: Eukaryota; Viridiplantae; Streptophyta; Magnoliopsida; Malpighiales; Euphorbiaceae
Source: RNAcentral